Molecule: ribosomal RNA, 351 nt
Filed under: uncultured bacterium
Lineage: Bacteria
Description: bacterial SSU rRNA
Rfam family: Bacterial small subunit ribosomal RNA
Source: RNAcentral
AAUGAACGUUGGCGGCGUGGAUUAGGCAUGCAAGUCGUGCGCGAAACGUAGCAAUACGUGGAGAGCGGCGAAAGGGAGAGUAAUGCAUGGUUAGCUACCCUCGGGACUGGGAUAGCGGCGGGAAACUGCCGGUAAUACCAGAUGACAUCUUCGGAUCAAACGUGUAAAUCGGCCCGAGGAGGUGACCAUGUCCUAUCAGCUAGUUGGCAGGGUAACGGCCUACCAAGGCUAAGACGGGUAUGGGGGCGUGAGAGCGUGCCCCCACUCACUGGGACUGAGAACUGCCCAGACACCUACGGGUGGCUGCAGUCGAGAAUCUUCGGCAAUGGGCGCAAGCCUGACCGAGCGACG